GAACGCUCGUAGUCGGAUUUCGGGGCGGUCCGACCGGUCUGCCGAUGGGUACGCACUGGUCGGAGCGUCCUUUUUGCCGGAGACCGUGCCUACUCUUAACUGAGCGGGGGCGGGAGACGGCACUUUUACUUUGAAAAAAUCAGAGUGUUCCAAGCAGGCAGCUCGCUCUUGCAUGGAUUAGCAUGGGAUAAUGAAAUAGGACUUUGGUGCUAUUUUGUUGGUUUCGAACACCGAAGUAAUGAUGAGAAGGGACAGUCAGGGGCACUCGUAUUCCGCCGAGAGAGGUGAAAUUCUCAGACCAGCGGAAGACGAACCACUGCGAAAGCAUUUGCCAGGGAUGUUUUCACUGAUCAAGAACGAAAGUUAGGGGAUCGAAGACGAUCAGAUACCGUCGUAGUCUUAACCAUAAACCAUGCCGACUAGGGAUUGGAGGAUGUUCACUGAUUGACUCCUUCAGCACCUUACGGGAAACUAAAGUCUUUGGGUUCCGGGGGGAGUAUGGUCGCAAGGCUGAAACUUAAAGGAAUUGACGGAAGGGCACCACCAGGUGUGGAGCCUGCGGCUUAAUUUGACUCAACACGGGGAAACUUACCAGGUCCAGACAUUUUGAGGAUUGACAGAUUGAGAGCUCUUUCAUGAUUAGAUGGGUGGUGGUGCAUGGCCGUUCUUAGUUGGUGGAGUGAUUUGUCUGGUUAAUUCCGUUAACGAACGAGACCUUAGCCUGCUAAAUAGUGACGCGAACUCUUUGUUCGCGGGCCACUUCUUAGAGGGACAACUUGUCUUCAACAAGUGGAAGUUUGAGGCAAUAACAGGUCUGUGAUGCCCUUAGAUGCUCUGGG
RNAcentral lists this ribosomal RNA (839 nucleotides) under uncultured marine eukaryote. RNAcentral describes it as "SSU rRNA". It matches the Rfam family "Eukaryotic small subunit ribosomal RNA", at positions 622 to 1486 of the family's 1831-position model. The record is from RNAcentral.